GACGAACGCUGGCGGCGUGCCUAAUACAUGCAAGUAGAACGCUGAAGGAGGAGCUUGCUCUUCUGGAUGAGUUGCGAACGGGUGAGUAACGCGUAGGUAACCUGCCUGGUAGCGGGGGAUAACUAUUGGAAACGAUAGCUAAUACCGCAUAACAGUAGAUGUUGCAUGACAUUUACUUAAAAGGUGCAAUUGCAUCACUACCAGAUGGACCUGCGUUGUAUUAGCUAGUUGGUGGGGUAACGGCUCACCAAGGCGACGAUACAUAGCCGACCUGAGAGGGUGGUCGGCCACACUGGGACUGAGACACGGCCCAGACUCCUACGGGAGGCAGCAGUAGGGAAUCUUCGGCAAUGGACGGAAGUCUGACCGAGCAACGCCGCGUGAGUGAAGAAGGUUUUCGGAUCGUAAAGCUCUGUUGUAAGAGAAGAAAGAGUGUGAGAGUGGAAAGUUCACACUGUGACGGUACCUUACCAGAAAGGGACGGCUAACUACGUG
Molecule: ribosomal RNA, 495 nt
Filed under: uncultured bacterium
Lineage: Bacteria
Description: partial 16S ribosomal RNA
Rfam family: Bacterial small subunit ribosomal RNA
Source: RNAcentral